AACUAGCCCCGAUGGAAACGGCAUCCUUUUGUGAUGAGGAACGAAGAGCAAAAGAUAUAGUGGACAGCGGGUUCCCGG
This is a small RNA of Chryseobacterium sp. Leaf394, 78 nucleotides long. It matches the Rfam family "Flavo-1 RNA". NCBI's taxonomy places the organism in Bacteria, Pseudomonadati, Bacteroidota, Flavobacteriia, Flavobacteriales, Weeksellaceae. The record is from Rfam.